CCUACGGGAGGCAGCAGUAGGGAAUAUUGGGCAAUGGGCGAGAGCCUGACCCAGCCAUGCCGCGUGGAGGAAGACGGCCCUCUGGGUUGUAAACUCCUUUUGUCAGCGAAGAACGGCCCCCUUGCGAGGGGGUGUGACGGUAGUUGAUGAAUAAGCACCGGCUAACUCCGUGCCAGCAGCCGCGGUAAUACGGAGGGUGCAAGCGUUGUCCGGAUUUAUUGGGUUUAAAGGGUGCGUAGGUGGGCUGUUAAGUCUGGUUUGAAAGUUGGUCGCUU
Molecule: ribosomal RNA, 275 nt
Filed under: uncultured Rudanella sp.
Lineage: Bacteria; Pseudomonadati; Bacteroidota; Cytophagia; Cytophagales; Cytophagaceae
Description: partial 16S ribosomal RNA
Rfam family: Bacterial small subunit ribosomal RNA
Source: RNAcentral